GCCUCAGUUUCACCAUCUGUAAAGCAGAGGUGAUGAUUACAGCACCUUGGUGAGAGGUUCUUGAGAAGGUUACACGGGCGCGUGCGGUAACAGCCCUUUCACAUCUAGGAAGCUGUCCCUAAGUGAAGCAAUUCUGGCUGAUGUUUCCCAAAGGGAGGAAAAUGAUGGGUAUAGAGACAAUUUCAGAAGCACUGGCCACUCCAGAAAGGACCACUCACAUAUGGUCUACAUUAUCGAUGGGGCUGUGAACGAUGCUGCUUGGAGCCGUGCAACAAGCCACCUGUCAACACCCUGCAGGAGGGGAGCUGCAUGAGGCAUGACAAAGAAGACAAAGUAAGCUCUGGACACCUAGACAAAGACCACAGAAACAACAGAGGUGUUGUGGCAACAUGAGAAGAGCACUGGCCUGAGAGGCAGGACAUCCACGUUCUGGUCCCUGCUCUGUCCCCACCUAGCUAUGUGACCUUAUGAAAGUUCCUCUUUUUUUUCCCUCUGGGCCCAGCUCCCCUAUCUGUCAAAUGAAGGAACUGGACAAGAUGAUCUUUAAGAUCUCUCCCAGCUCUGAGAGUCUACACUUACAGAUGGCAUCCCAACAUGGGCCCAGAAUCUCGCCCUCCCACUCAGCAUGGACCGCCCUCCCGCCUGCUCGCUCAAGGCAGUGUCUCUCCAGCUGACCUACUUUGUGUGGGGAGGGGAGGAGGGCAGAGAGGAGCUCUAAGCAGGGAGCGAACAACCAAAGGUUCGCCCGCCCUCCCGAGAGAUUCAGGCCCCUCUGCAGAGUGCUAACAGUUGGGACGGUGCCCCCCACCCCACCUGCUUCUGAGGCCUCUCCUGCCUGCUCCGCAGAAUGCAGCAGGCUUAAAAUAUCUGCCAGGGCAGCGGGGCUGUGUUGAUGCAUUGCUUUUAGUUCUUAAUCAUGUUGCUGAUUCACCAGGGUAUUUCUCUGACUUUCCAAACAUGUUUUUUUAAAGUCAUUCUUGCAGGAUCUUCAGGAUGUUUUAUUAAACAAAAAAGCAAGGUGCAAAACAGUGUGUAUAGGAUCCUAUCUCCCGGGCUGGCCCCGUGGCCGAGUGGUUAAGUUCGCGCGCUCCGCUGCAGACGGCCCAGUGUUUCGUCGGUUCGAAUCCUGGGCGCGGACAUGGCACUGCUCGUCAGACCACGCUGAGGCAGCGUCCCACAUGCCACAACUAGAGGAACCCACAACGAAGAAUACACAACUAUGUACCGGGGGGCUUUGGGGAGAAAAAGGAAAAAAUAAAAUCUUUAAAAAAAAAAAAAAAAAAAGAUCCUAUCUCCAAAUACAGUCACAUUCUGAGAUACUG
This 1322-nucleotide long non-coding RNA is filed under the name Equus caballus (horse). Its description in RNAcentral is "lncRNA (ENSECAG00000039270.3)". The record is from RNAcentral. Lineage: Eukaryota; Metazoa; Chordata; Mammalia; Perissodactyla; Equidae.